GGUGUAGCUCAGUCGGUAGAGCACUGGUCUCCAAAACCAGGUGUCGUGAGUUCGAACCUUACCACC
Molecule: transfer RNA, 66 nt
Filed under: bovine gut metagenome
Rfam family: tRNA
About the family: Transfer RNA (tRNA) molecules are approximately 80 nucleotides in length. Their secondary structure includes four short double-helical elements and three loops (D, anti-codon, and T loops).
Source: RNAcentral